CAGUCGCCGCGGGAAUACGGAGGGUGCAAGCGUUAAUCGGAAUUACUGGGCGUAAAGCGCACGCAGGCGGUCUGUCAAGUCAGAUGUGAAAUCCCCGGGCUUAACCUGGGAACUGCAUUUGAAACUGGCAGGCUAGAGUCUUGUAGAGGGGGGUAGAAUUCCAGGUGUAGCGGUGAAAUGCGUAGAGAUCUGGAGGAAUACCGGUGGCGAAGGCGGCCCCCUGGACAAAGACUGACGCUCAGGUGCGAAAGCGUGGGGAGCAAACAGGAUUAGAGACCCGUGUAGUCCCUGUCUCUUAUAA
This 301-nucleotide ribosomal RNA is filed under the name uncultured bacterium. RNAcentral's name for it is "partial 16S ribosomal RNA". It matches the Rfam family "Bacterial small subunit ribosomal RNA", at positions 509 to 809 of the family's 1533-position model. The record is from RNAcentral.